GUGGUGAAGUGGAGGUGUGACGCUCCUGUCGCCUGUAAACUCCUCUCUUCGUGUUUGGUUCUUUGUUAUUGUUCCAUAGAUCUUUGGUGUAUCGCCUGUCCCGUCGCAAUACUCUUACGGAUUACUGCUGCCGUUGUCAAAAGAUGAAGGAAGGCCCCCGUGGCUGCUGACGCCCUGGACCCGCGCGCAGGAAGCCCCGCUGUUAUGCCGCAGUGAAGCCUCGGGCGACGGGCGCGAGCGAGGGCGGGAGUGAGCGGGCGGAGGCGGAGGCGGCGAAGGCGGACAGGUGUCAUGGUGGUCGGGGAGGUCAUGAGCAGAGUGACGCAGCUAUAGUCCAGGGUUGAAGAUGUCGUGGCUGGGCGGGGACGACCCCGGGGGUGGGUACGGGGACGACUACCCGUGGUGGGCGCCCGAGGACGGCCACGGCGCCCGCGACAACCGGACGUGGGAGGAGCGCUGCUACACGCUCGACUACGACUACCACGUGGUCACCGCCGUCAUCUGCGCCAUGUUCCUCGUCUUCGGGGUCGUCUACAGCCUCUU
Molecule: non-coding RNA, 543 nt
Organism: Penaeus vannamei (Pacific white shrimp)
Lineage: Eukaryota; Metazoa; Arthropoda; Malacostraca; Decapoda; Penaeidae
Source: RefSeq, a predicted model, not a curated record